UCCCCGAUAGCUCAAUGGCAGAGCGAGCGGCUGUUAACCGCUAGGUUGUAGGUUCGAGUCCUACUCGGGGAG
Molecule: transfer RNA, 72 nt
Filed under: Phycisphaeraceae bacterium
Lineage: Bacteria; Pseudomonadati; Planctomycetota; Phycisphaerae; Phycisphaerales; Phycisphaeraceae
Description: tRNA-Asn
Rfam family: tRNA
About the family: Transfer RNA (tRNA) molecules are approximately 80 nucleotides in length.
Source: RNAcentral